RNAcentral lists this ribosomal RNA (468 nucleotides) under uncultured bacterium. RNAcentral describes it as "partial 16S ribosomal RNA". It matches the Rfam family "Bacterial small subunit ribosomal RNA", at positions 28 to 507 of the family's 1533-position model. The record is from RNAcentral.
GACGAACGCUGGCGGCGUGCUUAACACAUGCAAGUCGAACGGAAAGGCCCUGCUUUUGUGGGGUGCUCGAGUGGCGAACGGGUGAGUAACACGUGAGUAACCUGCCCUUGACUUUGGGAUAACUUCAGGAAACUGGGGCUAAUCCCGGAUAGGAGCUCCUGCUGCAUGGUGGGGGUUGGAAAGUUUCGGCGGUUGGGGAUGGACUCGCGGCUUAUCAGCUUGUUGGUGGGGUAGUGGCUUACCAAGGCUUUGACGGGUAGCCGGCCUGAGAGGGUGACCGGCCACAUUGGGACUGGGAUACGGCCCAGACUCCUACGGGAGGCAGCAGUGGGGAAUAUUGCACAAUGGGCGGAAGCCUGAUGCAGCAACGCCGCGUGCGGGAUGACGGCCUUCGGGUUGUAAACCGCUUUCGCCUGUGACGAAGCGUGAGUGACGGUAAUGGGUAAAGAAGCACCGGCUAACUACGUG